This 552-nucleotide ribosomal RNA is filed under the name uncultured Pseudomonadota bacterium. RNAcentral's name for it is "bacterial SSU rRNA". It matches the Rfam family "Bacterial small subunit ribosomal RNA", at positions 97 to 630 of the family's 1533-position model. Lineage: Bacteria; Pseudomonadati; Pseudomonadota. The record is from RNAcentral.
GGCAGACGGGUGAGUAACGCGUAGGGAACCUACCUUUUUGUGGGGAAUAACGAUCCGAAAGGAUUGGUAAUACCGCAUGAGACCCAUGGCUGGGAUGCUGUUGGUGAAAGCCGGGGAUCGAAAGACCUGGCGCAAGAAGAGGGUCCUGCGUCUGAUUAGCUAGUUGGCGGGGUAACGGCCCACCAAGGCGUCGAUCAGUAGCCGGCCUGAGAGGGUGAUCGGCCACACUGGAACUGAGACACGGUCCAGACUCCUACGGGAGGCAGCAGUGGGGAAUUUUGCGCAAUGGGCGAAAGCCUGACGCAGCAACGCCGCGUGGGUGAUGAAGGUCUUCGGAUCGUAAAACCCUGUCGUCAGGGACGAAGGUAGGGGAUCUAACAGGUCUCUUGCUUGACGGUACCUGGAGAGGAAGCCCCGGCUAACUCUGUGCCAGCAGCCGCGGUAAUACAGAGGGGGCAAGCGUUAUUCGGAAUUAUUGGGCGUAAAGGGCGCGUAGGCGGUUUUUUAAGUGAGAUGUGCAAUCCCCGAGCUUAACUUGGGAACUGCAUCUCA